Macaca mulatta (Rhesus monkey) is the source of this 1495-nucleotide non-coding RNA. The record is from RefSeq and is a predicted model, not a curated record. Lineage: Eukaryota; Metazoa; Chordata; Mammalia; Primates; Cercopithecidae.
ACUAUAUUUGGAAUUACUUUCUUGUGGUAACAGGCUUUUCUCUCAAUUUCCCAUUCAUUGUUUUUGAAAUCUCAGUAAAACAAAAACAAAACCAAGCCACCUGAUGACACUAAAAUGUUGGCUGAUUAUCCAGAUGUGUUCAAACCAGUGCCUGAGGAGCUGGACCUUUUUCUGCUGAAAGAAGCAAAAUGAGCCUUUUCUAGCUCAUACUGUAGUCAGAACUUGGGAACAUUCUAGCAGAGCUUUUCACUGAGUCAGGGUCUAGUCAGUGCAAUAUCUGGAUACAGAAACUGCCCAAUAUUUCCUUCAAGUGACUCCUCCCCAUGAAACUCUCAAGGAGGUCCACAUCUCGAUGUCAAAUUCCUGCAUGGGGAGCAGCAGAAGCAUUGGGCAGUCCCAUGGAAAUGGCUACUGAGGCUCCCAGAGACAGCACCUAUAUUUGUGACCCAGGACAACAGUGAUGGACCUACAGGGGUCCCAGCCUGAUUUUCCUGCUCUGGGUUCAUCCACAUUGCCUGCUUGACCAGCUCUGGGCUCCAGGCUGAGGACAAAUGUGAUUAUAAGCAUCGCACAGCGGCAUCCAGACUCCAUCUCACCAAAAGCUCCUGAUCCGUGGAGAAGCGAGAGAAAGAUUUGUCCUCAACUCCUCCUGUCUUCCCCAUCCCUCCUUUAUCCCUGCCUGUUGCCAACUCCAGUUCACGCCAAGGCUUCUGCUGUCACUUGUGUUACUGAAAGUGGAGCAUCAGUUCAAUGAAAAGAACUCGUUUGCUUACUGGUGCUCCAAUGCAAACAGAAUCGAUUUGUUUCUAGAAGCAAAAGGAGCAGGCCACACAUGGUGUGGAUGAGGUGGGGGUGACAAGAAAGAAGAAUCCAGCCUGUGUGACCCAGAGACCCAGGUGCCCCUGCCUGGCCCUAUAGGUGUCUUCUGUUGGCACAGGCAUGGUGGCCAUUUCCUGAGCUCUGAGACUGCUUGAGAGAUGACAAGAAAGGAGAACCCAUCCUGUGUGACCCAGAGACCCAUAUGUGAGAAUGAAAGUCCAAUACUUAAGGAAACAUGGAAUCAGCAUUCUGAAAGCUCUGGCUCUGUCUUGGCCUUUGGCUGAUGUAGAAGAGAAGCAAGAGAGAUGCUCAGCCUUGGGUGGCCCAGGCACAACUGUCCUGAAAAGGGUCUGAGCUCUCUGCAACGUGGGCUUUCUGCAAUAAUAUGCUUAUGGAGGCUGCAAUCCAAGUAUGAUGCAAAAGAAGCUAUUUAAAGUGACCAGGGGAUGGUUUACGGGGGAAUGAGGCAAAAGGUGUGGGGUCAGAUGUGGUAAGGAGGGUGCAGCCUGGAGAAGAGCUCGUCUUUGGGAGCCUUAUGAGGAGGAGUCCCAAGGCCCAGAGCAGUGACAAAUAGAAGACGUGGAAGGAUCUGGGCCGUGGAGACACAGACGUACAGGGGCUUGGUCUGUUCUGGAGGGUCCCUGAAGAGGAUGACAUUAAAACACUAUGGUCAGUG